This is a non-coding RNA of Maylandia zebra (zebra mbuna), 84 nucleotides long. The record is from the annotation of a RefSeq genome assembly. Lineage: Eukaryota; Metazoa; Chordata; Actinopteri; Cichliformes; Cichlidae.
AUCAGGAUGGCCGAGUGGUUAAGGCGUUGGACUUAAGCUCCAAUGAGCGCAUGCCUCUCGUGGGUUCAAACCCCACUCCUGGUA